This 513-nucleotide ribosomal RNA is filed under the name uncultured bacterium. RNAcentral's name for it is "partial 16S ribosomal RNA". It matches the Rfam family "Bacterial small subunit ribosomal RNA", at positions 355 to 857 of the family's 1533-position model. The record is from RNAcentral.
UAGGGAAUCUUCCACAAUGGACGCAAGUCUGAUGGAGCAACGCCGCGUGAGUGAAGAAGGUCUUCGGAUCGUAAAGCUCUGUUGUUGGUGAAGAAGGAUAGAGGCAGUAACUGGUCUUUAUCUGACGGUAAUCAACCAGAAAGUCACGGCUAACUACGUGCCAGCAGCCGCGGUAAUACGUAGGUGGCAAGCGUUGUCCGGAUUUAUUGGGCGUAAAGCGAGCGCAGGCGGAAUGAUAAGUCUGAUGUGAAAGCCCACGGCUCAACCGUGGAACUGCAUCGGAAACUGUCAUUCUUGAGUGCAGAAGAGGAGAGUGGAACUCCAUGUGUAGCGGUGGAAUGCGUAGAUAUAUGGAAGAACACCAGUGGCGAAGGCGGCUCUCUGGUCUGCAACUGACGCUGAGGCUCGAAAGCAUGGGUAGCGAACAGGAUUAGAUACCCUGGUAGUCCAUGCCGUAAACGAUGAGCGCUAGGUGUUGGGGACUUUCCGGUCCUUCAGUGGCCGCAGCAAACG